Molecule: ribosomal RNA, 482 nt
Filed under: uncultured bacterium
Lineage: Bacteria
Description: partial 16S ribosomal RNA
Rfam family: Bacterial small subunit ribosomal RNA
Source: RNAcentral
AUUGAACGCUGGCGGCAUGCCUUACACAUGCAAGUCGAACGGUAACAGGUCUUCGGAUGCUGACGAGGGGCGGACGGGCGAGUAAUACAUCGGUACGUGGCGGAACGUCGGCGAGAACGGGGCGAAAGCUUUGCUUAUACCGCAUACGAUCAAGGGAUAUAAGCAGGGGACGGCACUGCCUUGUGCGGACGGAGCUGCUGAUGGCAGAUUAGGUAGUUGGUGGGAUAAAAGCUUACCAAGCCGACGAUCUGUAGCUGGUCUGAGAGGACGACCAGCCACACUGGGACUGAGACACGGCCCAGACUCCUACGGGAGGCAGCAGUGGGGAAUUUUGGACAAUGGGCGAAAGCCUGAUCCAGCCAUGCCGCGUGCAGGAUGAAGGCCUUCGGGUUGUAAACUGCUUUUGUACGGAACGAAAAGACUCUUUCUAAUAAAGAGGGUCCAUGACGGUACCGUAAGAAUAAGCACCGGCUAACUACGUG